UCAAAAGAAUAACCCCCUUUUGACUCCCACCUUACUAAAAUACCUAGUAAGGAAUUUUAUACCGUAGUCAAAGUGACUACCACACCUUACUAAAAAUAUUGCUCACUCUAUUUUUUCUUUCAUAGACUAUUUUUUAUCACAGUCUGUGAAAUACACUGCUCUCUAUUUCUUCACAUUUUUCCUCUCUUUUCUUGGUGCUGGUGUAUUAAACAAAGGAGAAGAGAACUCCUUUUAUAGAGAAAAUUUCCUCCCUAUGAUGUCAUCAAUGGCAUCAACAAACACACCUUUCUUGACCAAUUUUUUUUUCGGCCAACCACAUUUGAAAAAACAAAUGUGCAGUAUUUUUUGACACUUUUUCUUAGUAGCAUUUGCAGCAAAUGUUGAAGAAUGAUGCAUGGGGAUGGACCCAUCAAAUCUCCCCCUCCAGACCUAUGCAUAUGAAAGAGGUAUCCUUGUUCUUUCGGAGAGAGCUCAUCCCAACAAGUUCUUUGCUCAACUCGAACUUAUCUUUUGGCACAACCUUUGUCAGCAUAACUAUCAGGUUGCUCCCCCUGCUCUGCAUAAUCAUUAGGUUGCUCCCUCUCAAAUCAAGACCACACCACAUGUGAUCUCUUCUACAGUGAUAAUCCGUUUGAUCUUGCUAACCAUCUUGUACCGCCACUAUCGAUCAGUGGGACACGCCACCUGAUCACCACUCGCCAGGAAAACUUUUGACACAAGGCAUCACUUAUAGAUCUCCAACUAGUAAGUCACUUCACAUGAUCUACCAAAUAGCUCUUGCACUGCUAUUAUCACGGCUAACAAUCUUGUACCACCACUAUCAACUAGUGGGACACACUACCUGACCACCGCUCACCAGGAAAACUUUUGACACAAGGUAUCACCUGUAGGUCUCCAACUACUAGGUCACUUUAGAUAAUCUGCCAAAUAGAUCUUGCCAAACAUCUUGUACUGUCGUUAUUACCCAACGGAGUACGUCGCCUGAACACCACUCGCCAGGAAAACUUUCAACAUAAAGCACCACCUGCUGAUUUCUUGUUAUCAUACUGAGAACAUCUCACAAAACGUAGUCCACUCUCCGACACACCCGAACCUGGGCUCUGAUACCACUUUUUGGGAUCACAUGUAACUUCACCCAAACUCCGCACUAGUAUGAUAUUGUCUGCUUUGGACCAACCCUACACAGAUUUGUUUUUGGGCACCUCCCAAAAUGCCUCAUACUAAUGGAGUUGGGUGAUACUUUAAAAAUUGGGCAUGCUUCUUCUAUUUCUCCGAUGUGGGAUUGAUUUACUUCCCAACAAUCCUUCCCUCAAACCAAAACCACACCACUUGUGACCUUCCGUUCAAUGAUAAUCCAUUUGAAAGGGACACGCCGCUUGUACCGCCACCACCAAUCAGUGGGACACGCCGUUUGACCAUCACUUGUCAAGAAAACUUUUGACAUAAGGCAUCAACCGUAGAUCUCAACUACUUGGUCACUCACAUGAUCUGCCAAACAUCUUGUACCAUCGUUAUCUCCCAACGGGACACGCUGCCUGACCACCACUCACCAGGAAGACUUUUGACAUAAGGCACCACCUGCAGAUCUCUAGUCUUAUUAUCACAUUGGUAACUUUACGCAGUUCACUAUUCUGACACACCCGAACCUGGACUCUGAUACCACUUGUUGGGAAAAUUGAAUAAAUUUUCCAACUACAAUGGAACAACUGCUCUCUGAUACCACUUGUUGGGAUUGUGUGUAACUUCACUGUUGAAUUUUGCUAUCUCAUACGCAAAUAUCAUUUUCAUGAAUGAGCAGAACCUGCUCUCUGAUACUAGUUGUUGGAAAUAUAUUCCGCCACGAUAAUAAUAUUGCGUUAAUAAAGAGCAAUAAAUAUGACAAUAAUAAUACGCUUAACAAGAAGAACAAUGAGAGCGAUAAUGACAACAAGAUUUUUACGUGAAAACCCUUCUAAAUAAGAGAAAAAACACGGACCAAGAGGAGCAACUCAUAUUAAUAUAGUAAGGAAUUUUUAUACCGUAGCCACAAUACAAGACUCAAAGUGACUACUAAACACUCAAAAGAAAUAACCCCCUUUUGACUCCCACCUUACUAAAACACCUAGGAAGGAAUUUUAUACCGUAGUCAAAGUGACUACCACACCUUACUAAAAUUAUUGCUCACUCUAUUUUUUCUUUCAUAAACUAUUUUUUUUAAUCACAUCUUUGAAAUACACUGCUCGCUAUUUCUUCACAUUUUUCCUCUCUUUUCUUG
RNAcentral lists this long non-coding RNA (2254 nucleotides) under Capsicum annuum. Its description in RNAcentral is "long non-coding RNA (CANN_LNC018139)". Lineage: Eukaryota; Viridiplantae; Streptophyta; Magnoliopsida; Solanales; Solanaceae. The record is from RNAcentral.